AUUUGGUUAUUGCAAACAGGUGAGGAGUCUGCAUAUAAGUUCCUGUUCUUCGUGGAGAAAGGGUGAAAUAGCAGCAGAGGUUGACCAUCUCUUCAAUGAGGGAGCUGAGGAUUUACCUCGCUAGUGAAAGGCUAAGCCAAGAUAGUCUGAGAGAAAAGAAUGGAUUUGAAAGGAGCGAUGUUUGAUUCAGGGGUAUCCAAGGAAGAGAAUUCAUCUUUAAAGUUUACUUCUUCAACCAGAAAAUUAAUAAAACACAGCACACCUGUGGAUACCACACUGUCUAAAAGUAUGAUUUCCAUAGAAAGUAUAUCCUACCUGAAAGAAGCUGGAAGUGAAAGGGGAACUCCUAUGGAGUCUCCCCUCCCCAAAACACCAUUUCUAGAAUUUUCAACUCAUCCAGAAACAAGAAGUCUUAAGCCUAUUGGCCAAAGGAAGAGACUUUCUACAGUAUCUGCUUCUGAGGAGUCCAGUGCAGAGGUACAAAAUAGCUUGAACCUCUCUUCAGCCAAGCAGGAACAUCAAAUUCCUGAUUCAUUAACCAAGAAACAGAGUGAGAUGUCCUUCGGAAAAUGGUGCUGUUAUGGAUUACCUGGAAUAAAGGACCCGCCUAAAAGAAAAGGCCGUUUUAAGAAGAGACUUGUGGUAAAGGACUUGACUCCAUGGGAACUUCGUCAACUCCAAAACAUUGAAGAAGCCACCCAUCAUGAGUUAGUUGUUGAAGCCACAUGAUGAUCUUCCAAGAAACCCUUUAAAUGAAUUCUUUUUGGAAAUUCUGUAACUUCUUCACAUAUAAAGAUUAAGUAAAUACUGUAUUCUGUUGUACCUAAACAAAUAAACCUCUUGCCUUGUGAUAUAAGGCA
Molecule: long non-coding RNA, 860 nt
Filed under: Vombatus ursinus (common wombat)
Lineage: Eukaryota; Metazoa; Chordata; Mammalia; Diprotodontia; Vombatidae
Description: lncRNA (ENSVURG00010014595.1)
Source: RNAcentral